UGUUAUACCGCCUAUAUACCGCCGUCGUCAGCCUACCCUGUGAAGGACUAGAAGUGAGCAAGAUUGGUAAGACCCAAAACGUCAGGUCGAGGUGUAGUGUAUGAGAGGGGAAGAAAUGGGCUACAUUUCCUAAGUCAGGAAAUACGAAUAAUGAACUGAAAUAAGCAUUAGAAGGUGGAUUUAGCAGUAAGCAGCAAAACAGAGUGUUCUGCUGAAAUAUGGCAAUAAAGCACGCACAUAUCGCCCGUCACUCUCCCCAAGCUAACACAAAACAAAUACCUAAAAAACUACAUCUGCAAAGGGGAGGCAAGUCGUAACAUGGUAAGCGUACCGGAAGGUGCGCUUGGAACAAU
RNAcentral lists this ribosomal RNA (353 nucleotides) under Amphiprion clarkii (yellowtail clownfish). RNAcentral's name for it is "partial 12S ribosomal RNA". It matches the Rfam family "Bacterial small subunit ribosomal RNA", at positions 1028 to 1533 of the family's 1533-position model. Lineage: Eukaryota; Metazoa; Chordata; Actinopteri; Pomacentridae. The record is from RNAcentral.